Molecule: non-coding RNA, 207 nt
Organism: Oryza glumipatula
Lineage: Eukaryota; Viridiplantae; Streptophyta; Magnoliopsida; Poales; Poaceae
Source: Rfam
UUAAUGUAUGACCCUGUUAACUUUUUGACAAACGUUUGACCUUUCGUCUUAUUCAAAAACUUUAUGUAAUUAUAAUUUAUUUUGUUGUGACUUGAUUUAUCAUCAAAUGUUCUUUAAGCAUGACAUAAGUAUUUUUAUAUUUGCAUAAAAUUUUUGAAUAAGACGAGUGGUCAAACGUUGGUUAAAAAGUCAACGGCGUCAUACAUU